RNAcentral lists this ribosomal RNA (253 nucleotides) under uncultured bacterium. RNAcentral describes it as "partial 16S ribosomal RNA". It matches the Rfam family "Bacterial small subunit ribosomal RNA", at positions 524 to 776 of the family's 1533-position model. The record is from RNAcentral.
UACGUAGGGCGCAAGCGUUAAUCGGAAUUACUGGGCGCAAAGCGUGCGCAGGCGGUUUUGUAAGACAGGCGAGAAAUCCCCUGGCACAACCUGGGAAUGGCGCUUGUGACUGCAAAGCUGGAGUGCGGCAGAGGGGGAUGGAAUUUCGCGUGUAGCAGUGAAAUGCGUAGAUAUGCGGAGGAACACCGAUGGCGAAGGCAAUCCCCUGGGCCUGCACUGACGCUCAUGCACGAAAGCGUGGGGAGCAAACAGG